ACAGAUCUAGCUUGCUAGAUGCUGACGAGCGGCGGACGGGUGAGUAAUGCAUAGGAAUCUGCCCGAUAGUGGGGGAUAACCUGGGGAAACCCAGGCUAAUACCGCAUACGUCCUACGGGAGAAAGGGGGCUUYGGCUCCCGCUAUUGGAUGAGCCUAUGUCGGAUUAGCUAGUUGGUGAGGUAAAGGCUCACCAAGGCAACGAUCCGUAGCUGGUCUGAGAGGAUGAUCAGCCACAUCGGGACUGAGACACGGCCCGAACUCCUACGGGAGGCAGCAGUGGGGAAUAUUGGACAAUGGGGGGAACCCUGAUCCAGCCAUGCCGCGUGUGUGAAGAAGGCCCUCGGGUUGUAAAGCACUUUCAGCGAGGAAGAACGCCUAGGGGUUAAUACCCCCUAGGAAAGACAUCACUCGCAGAAGAAGCACCGGCUAACUCCGUGCCAGCAGCCGCGGUAAUACGGAGGGUGCAAGCGUUAAUCGGAAUUACUGGGCGUAAAGCGCGCGUAGGUGGCUUGAUAAGCCGGUUGUGAAAGCCCCGGGCUCAACCUGGGAACGGCAUCCGGAACUGUCAAGCUAGAGUGCAGGAGAGGAAGGUAGAAUUCCCGGUGUAGCGGUGAAAUGCGUAGAGAUCGGGAGGAAUACCAGUGGCGAAGGCGGCCUUCUGGACUGACACUGACACUGAGGUGCGAAAGCGUGGGUAGCAAACAGGAUUAGAUACCCUGGUAGUCCACGCCGUAAACGAUGUCGACCAGCCGUUGGGUGCCUAGCGCACUUUGUGGCGAAGUUAACGCGAUAAGUCGACCGCCUGGGGAGUACGGCCGCAAGGUUAAAACUCAAAUGAAUUGACGGGGGCCCGCACAAGCGGUGGA
This 867-nucleotide ribosomal RNA is filed under the name Vreelandella olivaria. RNAcentral's name for it is "bacterial SSU rRNA". It matches the Rfam family "Bacterial small subunit ribosomal RNA", at positions 69 to 936 of the family's 1533-position model. Lineage: Bacteria; Pseudomonadati; Pseudomonadota; Gammaproteobacteria; Oceanospirillales; Halomonadaceae. The record is from RNAcentral.